UAAGAGCGUGCAUUCUAGUUAGGCGUCCACACUUAUCGGUUUGUUUGAUGUUACAGCCAAGGGUCUGUAGCUCAGGUGGUUAGAGCACCGUCUUGAUAAGGCGGGGGUCGUAGGUUCAAGUCCUACCAGACCCACCAAGUUAUGGACGGUGGAAGUCUCUGCCGUGACUGGGGGAUUAGCUCAGCUGGGAGAGCACCUGCUUUGCAAGCAGGGGGUCGUCGGUUCGAUCCCGUCAUCCUCCACCAAUACCUUGUGGUUGCCAAACGCAAGCAUCGAGUUUUCGGUGUUUGCGUUUGGCAUUGCCAAGACGAGUCAUAACUCGGCUGUUCUUUAACAAUAUGGAAUGUAGUAAAGGUGUCGCGGAGCAUUGAUGAGAUGCUCGCAAAAACGCGACAUUGGGUUGUGAUUGUAUCAACCAGUAUUACGAGUGAUCGAAAGACCGCUUGGAAUACGGCACAACGCGAGAACUCAGCCUAUAUCGAGACAUACUCGUUAUAG
This 498-nucleotide unclassified non-coding RNA is filed under the name Ralstonia solanacearum. The stretch from base 61 to 134 matches the Rfam family "tRNA". Lineage: Bacteria; Pseudomonadati; Pseudomonadota; Betaproteobacteria; Burkholderiales; Burkholderiaceae. The record is from RNAcentral.